GGGCCGGGAUGCCCUCUCACUUUAAGCGGUUAAGGACGACACGGUUUAAAUUCCCGUGCCCCCACGGGCAAGGCUUACAUACGUUGGACUGACAAUCCAGUGGUCGAGGGUUCGAAUCCCUCCCGGUCCC
This 130-nucleotide transfer RNA is filed under the name Gammaproteobacteria bacterium. RNAcentral's name for it is "tRNA-OTHER". Lineage: Bacteria; Pseudomonadati; Pseudomonadota; Gammaproteobacteria. The record is from RNAcentral.